GAGAAAAUCGGAGUGAUCGCCCCGCCUUCGCUAAGGCUACAGCAGGGAGGAAAGUCCGAGCAGCAAGUACACAGGAAAGUCGCUAACAGCGACCAGCCCGCCUCAGGCGGGUUAGGGAAAGUGCCACAGAGACGAGCAAUGUGAAACGCCUGAAAGUGGCAGCAAUGUCACUUCAGGGCACCUGGGGUGACCCAGGAAUGCUGGCAAACCCUUUUCGUUGCAAGGUGGGAUUGGCCGCUGGAAUUAAUGGAGUGUACACCAUCUAGCGAGCCCACCGCAUGAGGUUCUUGGCAACAAGAAUCCUAGAGAGAUGAUCACGCCCCGCCUCGGCGGGGAACAGAACUCGGCUUAUGAAGAUUUUCUCUAAA
Molecule: RNase P RNA, 368 nt
Filed under: Candidatus Peregrinibacteria bacterium
Lineage: Bacteria; Candidatus Peregrinibacteriota
Description: RNase P RNA component class A
Rfam family: Bacterial RNase P class A
About the family: Ribonuclease P (RNase P) is a ubiquitous endoribonuclease, found in archaea, bacteria and eukarya as well as chloroplasts and mitochondria. Its best characterised activity is the generation of mature 5'-ends of tRNAs by cleaving the 5'-leader elements of precursor-tRNAs.
Source: RNAcentral